CACUCUUCGGUUCAAAUUGUGUUUUUUGCGUUUGAGUUCGUUGAUUCAUUUUUUCAUCUAUUUCUUCCGAUUCAUAGGGUUUUCUACUCUUUUUCAGUAAUUUUUUUAUUAUUACGCUUGGCACAAUGAGAAUUCUCGCGAUAUUGCGUUAAAAA
This is a small nucleolar RNA of Caenorhabditis elegans, 155 nucleotides long. Lineage: Eukaryota; Metazoa; Nematoda; Chromadorea; Rhabditida; Rhabditidae. The record is from Ensembl.